RNAcentral lists this ribosomal RNA (253 nucleotides) under uncultured bacterium. Its description in RNAcentral is "partial 16S ribosomal RNA". It matches the Rfam family "Bacterial small subunit ribosomal RNA", at positions 524 to 776 of the family's 1533-position model. The record is from RNAcentral.
UACGAAGGGGGCUAGCGUUGCUCGGAAUCACUGGGCGUAAAGCGCACGUAGGCGGGUUCUUAAGUCAGGGGUGAAAUCCUGGAGCUCAACUCCAGAACUGCCUUUGAUACUGGGAAUCUCGAGUCCGGGAGAGGUGAGUGGAACUGCGAGUGUAGAGGUGAAAUUCGUAGAUAUUCGGAAGAACACCAGUGGCGAAGGCGACUCGCUGGACAAGUAUUGACGCUGAGGUGCGAAAGCGUGGGGAGCAAACAGG